UGGCGGCAGGCUUAACACAUGCAAGUCGAACGCCCCGCAAGGGGAGUGGCAGACGGGUGAGGAACACGUGGGAACGUACCCUUUGGUUCGGAACAACCCUGGGAAACUAGGGCUAAUACCGGAUACGAGCGAGAGCUGAAAGGGUUACCGCCGAAGGAUCGGCCCGCGUCUGAUUAGCUAGUUGGUGAGGUAAUGGCUCACCAAGGCGACGAUCAGUAGCUGGUCUGAGAGGAUGAUCAGCCACAUUGGGACUGAGACACGGCCCAAACUCCUACGGGAGGCAGCAGUGGGGAAUAUUGGACAAUGGGCGCAAGCCUGAUCCAGCCAUGCCGCGUGAGUGAUGACGGCCCUAGGGUUGUAAAGCUCUUUUACCCGGGAAGAUAAUGACGGUACCGGGAGAAUAAGCCCCGGCUAACUUCGUGCCAGCAGCCGCGGUAAUACGAAGGGGGCUAGCGUUGUUCGGAUUUACUGGGCGUAAAGCGCACGUAGGCGGACGCUUAAGUCAGGGGUGAAAUCCCGAGGCUCAACCUCGGAACUGCCUUUGACACUGGGUGUCUUGAGUCCGGAAGA
This 570-nucleotide ribosomal RNA is filed under the name uncultured bacterium. Its description in RNAcentral is "bacterial SSU rRNA". It matches the Rfam family "Bacterial small subunit ribosomal RNA", at positions 37 to 655 of the family's 1533-position model. The record is from RNAcentral.